This 465-nucleotide ribosomal RNA is filed under the name uncultured bacterium. RNAcentral's name for it is "partial 16S ribosomal RNA". It matches the Rfam family "Bacterial small subunit ribosomal RNA", at positions 28 to 507 of the family's 1533-position model. The record is from RNAcentral.
GACGAACGCUGGCGGCGUGCUUAACACAUGCAAGUCGAACGGAAAGGCCCCUUUGGGGGUACUCGAGUGGCGAACGGGGGAGUAACACGUGAGUAACCUUCCCCUGACUUCGGGACAACGUCAGGAAACGGGGGCUAAUACCGGAAAGGAAUCCUUUCUGCAUGGGGGGGGUUGGAAAGCUACGGCGGGUUUUGAUGGACUCGCUGCUUAUCGGCUGGUUGGUGGAGUAGUGGCUUACCGAGGCGGUUACGGGUAGCCGGCCUGUGAGGGCGACCGGCCACAUUGGGACUGAGAUGCGGCCCAGACUCCUACGGGAGGCAGAAGUGCGGAAGAUUGCACGAUGAGCGGCAGCCUGGUGAAGAAGGGCCGCGUGCGGGAUAACGGCCUUCUGGUUGUAAACCGAUUUCAGCAGGAGCGAAGCUUGUGGUGACGGUACCUGCAGAGGAAGCACCGGCUAACUACGUG